Molecule: ribosomal RNA, 322 nt
Filed under: uncultured eukaryote
Lineage: Eukaryota
Description: partial 18S ribosomal RNA
Rfam family: Eukaryotic small subunit ribosomal RNA
Source: RNAcentral
CCCUUAGAUGUUCUGGGCUGCACGCGUGCUACACUGAGUAAAUCAAUGGGUAAGGGAACACGAAAGUGCAACCUAAUCUUGAAAUUUGCUCGUGAUGGGGAUCGACGGUUGCAAUUUUCCGUCGUGAACGAGGAAUACCUUGUAGGCGCGUGUCAUCAUCACGCGCCGAAUACGUCCCUGCCCUUUGUACACACCGCCCGUCGCUCCUACCGAUUGAGUGAUCCGGUGAGGCUCUGGGACCUGGACGGAAAGAGCGUUUCGCUUGUUCUGUUUGGGAAACUUGGUCGAACCUUAUCAUUUAGAGGAAGGAGAAGUCGUAACA